Molecule: ribosomal RNA, 460 nt
Filed under: uncultured bacterium
Lineage: Bacteria
Description: partial 16S ribosomal RNA
Rfam family: Bacterial small subunit ribosomal RNA
Source: RNAcentral
CCUACGGGAGGCAGCAGUGAGGAAUAUUGGUCAAUGGACGAGAGUCUGAACCAGCCAAGUAGCGUGAAGGAUGACUGCCCUAUGGGUUGUAAACUUCUUUUAUAUGGGAAUAAAACGUUCCACGUGUGGGAUUUUGUAUGUACCAUAUGAAUAAGGAUCGGCUAACUCCGUGCCAGCAGCCGCGGUAAUACGGAGGAUCCGAGCGUUAUCCGGAUUUAUUGGGUUUAAAGGGAGCGUAGGUGGAUUGUUAAGUCAGUGGUGAAAGUUUGCGGCUCAACCGUAAAAUUGCAGUUGAAACUGGCAGUCUUGAGUACAGUAGAGGUGGGCGGAAUUCGUGGUGUAGCGGUGAAAUGCUUAGAGAUCACGAAGAACUCCGAUUGCGAAGGCAGUUCACUGGACUGCAACUGACACUGAGGCUCGAAAGUGUGGGUAUCAAACAGGAUUAGAUACCCGUGUAGUC